Molecule: ribosomal RNA, 267 nt
Filed under: uncultured bacterium
Lineage: Bacteria
Description: partial 16S ribosomal RNA
Rfam family: Bacterial small subunit ribosomal RNA
Source: RNAcentral
GUCCUGGCCCUAAACGGUGCAUGUUUGCUGUAAGAGGAAUCGACCCCUUUUGUGGCGAAGCUAACGCGUUAAACAUGCCGCCUGGGAAGUACGGCCGCAAGGUUAAAACUCAAAGAAAUUGACGGGGGCCUGCACAAGCGGUGGAGUAUGUGGCUUAAUUCGAUGCAACGCGAAGAACCUUACCUGGCCUUGACAUGCAUCUAGUAGAAGGGUGAAAGCCCGACGAGGUAGCAAUACCAGGAUGCACAGGUGCUGCAUGGCUGUCGU